AACUAUACAACUACCAUAAAAAUCUAAAAUCACACGUGAUAAAAAAAAUGCGAGUAAACACUAAUGUUUCUGUUAAGUGAUGAGAAACGGGCUUGGAACAAAGGAACAAGCUUAAUCUUGCAGUGGUUUAAGGAUUUAAAGUUUACCUUUUGUGGAAUUGUGGAUAGCUUCUUGUGUGGUCCUUGUCCUGGCUCAUGAAAUCCUGAUUGUUGUUUUCAGGUGUUAAGUGUAUUUUGUUUAUUUUUAGGUACUAUGAAGAAGUAUUUAAUGACGUCUGAUAGGUUGUACAGAAGCUUUAAGCCCUUCAUGGAAAUGCUGUCAGAAUUAGAAGAAUGCUUGGGACACACAAGUGGAUGUUCCUGAAAGCUAUUAUGGUAUGUAUCAACCAACAGCUUUAAGAAUGUGCAAGUGAAAUGUCCUGAUGAGAGAUUUCCUGGUGACUGCAAUGUAGCAGAUAGAGGAAAAUUGCAAAUAACAUGGGAACAAAUACUUCUAAUUCUUCAGUGAUGAGUUGGAACAUGUUGUCAGUGCUACCUGACAAGUUUGGAUGGUCUGUAACUGGAAGGAAGUAUAACACCUGAAGACAUUUUUUGCUGCUUGAAGUGGGACACCAUGUUUUUAAAAUCUGCCAAAAUAGUUGAUGUCAUACUGCUUAGCAGAUACUGCUUUCAGAAAUUACAUGUGAACCAAAUCACUGUGUCUACAUACUUAAAAUAGCACCUCCUCUGAAACU
Molecule: long non-coding RNA, 733 nt
Organism: Nothoprocta perdicaria
Lineage: Eukaryota; Metazoa; Chordata; Aves; Tinamiformes; Tinamidae
Exons: 5
Source: RefSeq, a predicted model, not a curated record